Molecule: unclassified non-coding RNA, 386 nt
Filed under: uncultured bacterium
Lineage: Bacteria
Description: contains 16S-23S intergenic spacer region
Source: RNAcentral
UCCUGGUUUCCCAGGCAGUCCCGCCAGAGUGCUUUACCUAAAAAGGCAGUUGCAACUGACAGCAAGGGUUGCGCUCGUUAAAGGACUUAACCCAACAUCUCACGACACGAGCUGACGACAGCCAUGCAGCACCUGUGUAUAUGUCUAGGCAAGCCUAGAAAGUCUCAUCUCUGAGACGAUCAUAUACAUGUCAAAUCCAGGUAAGGUUCCUCGCGUAGUGUCGAAUUAAACCACAUGUUCCACCGCUUGUGCGGACCCCCGUCAAUUCCUUUGAGUUUUAGUCUUGCGACCGUAAUCCCCAGGCGAAUCACUUAACGCGUUAGCUACGACACUAACCCGAAAAAUCAGGCUAACGUCUAGUGAUUAUCGUUUACAGCGUGGACUAC